Molecule: ribosomal RNA, 144 nt
Filed under: Escherichia coli
Lineage: Bacteria; Pseudomonadati; Pseudomonadota; Gammaproteobacteria; Enterobacterales; Enterobacteriaceae
Description: partial 16S ribosomal RNA
Rfam family: Bacterial small subunit ribosomal RNA
Source: RNAcentral
AAAUUGAAGAGUUUGAUCAUGGCUCAGAUUGAACGCUGGCGGCAGGCCUAACACAUGCAAGUCGAACGGUAACAGGAAUCAGCUUGCUGAUUUGCUGACGAGUGGCGGACGGGUGAGUAAUGUCUGGGAAACUGCCUGAUGGAG